UACAGAGGUCUCAAGCGUUGUUCGGAUUCAUUGGGCGUAAAGGGUGCGUAGGCGGCGCGGUAAGUCGGGUGUGAAAUCUCGGAGCUUAACUCCGAAACUGCAUUCGAUACUGCCGUGCUUGAGGACUGGAGAGGAGUCUGGAAUUUACGGUGUAGCGGUGAAAUGCGUAGAUAUCGUAAGGAAGACCAGUGGCGAAGGCGGGUCUCUGGACAGUUCCUGACGCUGAGGCACGAAGGUCAGGGGAGCAAACGGG
RNAcentral lists this ribosomal RNA (253 nucleotides) under uncultured bacterium. RNAcentral's name for it is "partial 16S ribosomal RNA". It matches the Rfam family "Bacterial small subunit ribosomal RNA", at positions 524 to 776 of the family's 1533-position model. The record is from RNAcentral.